This 78-nucleotide transfer RNA is filed under the name bacterium. Its description in RNAcentral is "tRNA-Ile". It matches the Rfam family "tRNA". From Rfam's summary of the family: Transfer RNA (tRNA) molecules are approximately 80 nucleotides in length. Their secondary structure includes four short double-helical elements and three loops (D, anti-codon, and T loops). The record is from RNAcentral. RNAcentral also lists the same sequence under 1 other name.
GGGCCAGUAGCUCAGUUAGGUUAGAGCACCAGACUUAUAAACUGGCGGUCGGCGGUUCAAAUCCACCCUGGCCCACCA